Molecule: long non-coding RNA, 825 nt
Filed under: Olea europaea subsp. europaea
Lineage: Eukaryota; Viridiplantae; Streptophyta; Magnoliopsida; Lamiales; Oleaceae
Source: RNAcentral
AAGAAAUGAGAAUUGUGAAUUUGUGAUUUAUAAUAAAUAAUUUAUGUUGUAUGAGUUAUGAGUUAUAAUUUAUCAUUUAAAAGUUUUGAUUUUGAUUUGGAAAUUUAGGUUUAGGAAAUUAGGAGUAUGUGAAAAAAAUUAAUGGAGAAGAUGAUGGGCUCAAUUGAACCAUGUGUAUUAAACUUUAUUUUUAUAUGUAAAAAAUAUUCGUGUUAGUGCAUUUACAUAUUUGUUGAAGAAUUUUUAAUAUUAUUUAUGAAAUAUUAAUAAACGACAUAGUUACUACGAUCGUUGAUUGUUUCCGGUCAACGGUCAACCACCCUAGCUGACCUCCGAUCUUGAAUUCGCCAGUUAAAAAAAAAAAAGAAGCUUUUUUACAUGAAGGCUUAAGUACCUUUUAGAGGUUUGGUGCUAACAACUAGUUAGCAUGAAAGAAUGGAUUAAUAAAUUUCUCCAUUUCACUCAGUUACUCAGUUAGUACCCUUCAUUGGUGGUUGGAAAGUGAUCUUUGUGUUAGUUGGGGUAGAAUUUGAAAGGCUGGUCAGGUUCUACCCUUCCAAACAAACAAGGUCGAUUAGGUGACUGAGGGCCUUUAUUGAGAGUCGUGACAAUGAAAAGAUGUUGCAACAAUUAAAUGAAUCCCAAGAUCAGCUAUGAGCUUGUAUGACCAAAUCACUUUACUCGUGGCUAUAGACAUUGCCCAGUAUAUACUAUGUCUCUGCACUGAACUUGAGUUAUAAUUGAAGUGUUCAAUCUACUUAAUUUACAUCUUCCAGUAAAUUUAGUCAAUCGAUUGUAAUAAAAUAAUAAUAAUAAUAAUGUGCA